RNAcentral lists this ribosomal RNA (342 nucleotides) under Scolelepis sp. GF-11548_8644. Its description in RNAcentral is "partial large subunit ribosomal RNA". It matches the Rfam family "Bacterial large subunit ribosomal RNA", at positions 1948 to 2505 of the family's 2925-position model. Lineage: Eukaryota; Metazoa; Annelida; Polychaeta; Spionida; Spionidae. The record is from RNAcentral.
GUGCUAAGGUAGCAUAAUAAUUUGCCUCUUAAUUAGAGGCUGGAAUGAAGGAACAUACGAGAGUAAAACUGUUUCAUUUUUAUCUAAUGAAAACUAACCUCUAGAUGAAGAGAUCUAGAUAACUAAGAAAGACAAAAAGACCCUAUUGAGCUUUACCCUACCAGAAUUCCCCCAAAGUGAAUCUAUUUAAUAAAUUCUGAACGGGUUUUGUUGGGGCGACAGAAGAAGAACUAAAUCUUCUUUAUUUAAUGAGGUAAUAAACCUAAUAAUGAUCCGGAACCCCCGAUUAAAAGAUUCAGCUACCAUAGGGAUAACAGGCUAAUUCUUUCCGAGAGCCCAUAU